Molecule: long non-coding RNA, 2186 nt
Organism: Homo sapiens (human)
Lineage: Eukaryota; Metazoa; Chordata; Mammalia; Primates; Hominidae
Gene: THOC1-DT
Product: THOC1 divergent transcript
Source: Ensembl
AGAGUGGCCUGUGAACACCGGUCGGGCGAGCUGGCAGUUGGGAGUUUCCCUAGCGACUCAGUUCGGGUGGGCGUUGGGCGCCUGAGUCAGCCAAACAGCCUACUCGGGGUUCUUGGGUAGCCUUUGGGGUGAGGGGACUUGGGCGGCCUUGGUCUGUAAGCUCUGCGUUCCCGGGCGUGGAAGAGACUGGCCGCGCACAUGCGUUUCUGUGGUUUUCCUGGUUUGGGGAAAGCGGGUAAAUGGUGGCUGGUUGCGGCUAACUGGGCCGCGCUAAAAGGUAACCCAAGGCAGGUGGAUUACCUGGGGAAACAGCUGGAGCAGUGGUCCUGGGCCGCCAGUCCGCGGUCAUCCCGGGAGCUUAAGAUGCGGAGUGGUGAUAGGCUCCGGAUGUAUGAGCCCUGUGGCUCAAGGGCGCUGUUCUCUCUGCUCCGAAAUAGAAAUAAUACCUGUCUCACAGAGCUGUUGAAAAGCUCCACUGAAAUAAUGACCGCAAGUGUGAACUGUAAAGCAAUGUAAGUAGUAUUUAUUAUUAAAAGGUCUCUACUGAAAGAAAGAGACCUAGGAGGAAUGCAGUGCCCGGCGCUGAUUGGAAAACGGGUGGCGCUGCGUCCUGGGCCGAGGCUUCCCUAGCGAAAACCUUGUCUCCCUCCAUUUCGUCCCUUGCCUGCCUUCCCAGGAGAGACGUGGCCGAUAGAAGCCGAGUGGCAGUAACUCUAAGUUGGAGUUACACGGUGGAGAAGGAAGCACUGACUCAGACUCGGGUAACUUCCUCUUAUUCCCUCACACGUGUAUCUUGUUCCCUUCUUCGAAGUCUGUAAAUUUAAAAUCCUAAGCCCCCCAACAACUGAACAGACCCCCGUGAGGCCAAGGGGACACCAGCAAAAUCUUAACAACUGAGUUCCCAGUCAUAACGGGAUGGGAGGUCAGACGGACCUGGUUAUACCCUCUCCCUUUUGUGAUUUAGAGGAGAUAGCUGACUGGCCAUAAAGUUAAAAUAGAGGCCAGGCGCGGUGGCUUACGCCUGUAAUCCCAGCACUUUGGGACGCCGAAGCAGGUGGGUCACCUGAGGUCAGGAGUGGAUCACCUGAGGUAUGGCAAACAUGGUGAAACGCUGUCUCUACUAAAAAUACAAAAAUUAGCCGGGCGUGGUGGCACGCACCUGUAAUCCCAGCUACUCAGGAGGCCGAGGCAGGAGAAUGGUUUGAACCCGGCAGGCGGAGGUUGCAGUGAGCGGAGAUCGUGCCAUUGCACUCCAGCCUGGGCGACAAGAGUGAAACUCUGUUUCAAAAAAAAAAACGGAGAUGAUAGGACUGACGGAAUUGACUCCAUGGCAAUAAGAUACCAAAGUAUAAACAGGACCUAAGCCCAUGCCAAGCAAGGGUUAAAAGUCAUGCAUCCCUACGCUUGAAAAAUAAACUAUGUUCUCACUAUGCUUCAAGGUUUUUCUUUAGCAGCUAAACAAGCGCUGGCCUCACAGUAUUAAAACAAUUUGCAGUUCAUCGACCACCAGACACUAACAACCCUCUCCCACCAGCCGUAACUACAGCUUUUAUUGAUUUCAGUUACUUUCUCCUGAUAAGAAGGUCACUGACCAUGGACUUGUUCUGGCCAAUUUGUAGUGAUUGCAUGCUUACGUAACUUCCUGAAAAGAUAUUUUGAUGUAUAGGACCAAACUGUAAAUACAUUUAAAUGUUAAGUCUCCACCCCAAAGUGAACAUGGAUUGUCUGUUAAACAUGCAUAUUUGUUUAAUAUGCAUGUGUCAAGACCACUUUCAUGAAUAUUCAUAGCCGCUCCUCUAACUUGUUGAAUAUGUAUGUUUAGCCAACCAGUUAAGCAUAAAGUUCCUACUCCAACUCCUCCUCUGAAGUGUCUGUAUGUGGUCUUGGCUGGAGGCAUGCUUCCCAGCCUGCAGAAUGGCCACCUUGCAGGCUGUAACUCCUUAUAAGAAACAAAGUCUCUCCUUUUCUAAAUCUAUAGAUCUUAUGAUUUUUUAGUUAACAUGCACAAUAAGAAUACAGGAAGCUAAGGAAAAGAUAACUGCAGAAUCUUACUCCUAAGUGGGAAUUGUGAACAAUAAUGACUACCUGAAAUGUUACAGGCUUUUUAAGAAUCAGCAAGAUCAUUCAGGUUUGGUUGUAUACAUUAAAUUUACAAAUUGGCAAAAUAAAAAUGAUUUAAUUCAGAA